ACUUAGUAUAUAUACUUGCUGUAAAUAUAGACCAAGGAAAAAUAUGCAGGCUUUAUUAGGUGGAUAUUCUGUGAGUUUCUGAUUACCCACAAACGACCAAUAAAAUC
Molecule: small nucleolar RNA, 107 nt
Organism: Hibiscus syriacus
Lineage: Eukaryota; Viridiplantae; Streptophyta; Magnoliopsida; Malvales; Malvaceae
Source: RefSeq, a predicted model, not a curated record